UUGAACGCUGGCGGCAUGCUUUACACAUGCAAGUCGAACGGUAACAGGCCUUCGGGUGCUGACGAGUGGCGAACGGGUGAGUAAUGCAUCGGAACGUGCCCAGAGGUGGGGGAUAACGCAGCGAAAGCUGUGCUAAUACCGCAUGUGAUCUGAGGAUGAAAGCGGGGGACCAGGCAGCAAUGUUUGGCCUCGCGCCUUUGGAGCGGCCGAUGUCAGAUUAGGUAGUUGGUGGGGUAAAGGCCUACCAAGCCGACGAUCUGUAGCUGGUCUGAGAGGACGACCAGCCACACUGGGACUGAGACACGGCCCAGACUCCUACGGGAGGCAGCAGUGGGGAAUUUUGGACAAUGGGCGCAAGCCUGAUCCAGCAAUGCCGCGUGCGGGAAGAAGGCCUUCGGGUUGUAAACCGCUUUUGUACGGAACGAAAAGGCUCUGGCUAAUACCUGGGGCUGAUGACGGUACCGGAAGAAUAAGCACCGGCUAACUACGUG
This 491-nucleotide ribosomal RNA is filed under the name uncultured bacterium. RNAcentral's name for it is "partial 16S ribosomal RNA". It matches the Rfam family "Bacterial small subunit ribosomal RNA", at positions 30 to 507 of the family's 1533-position model. The record is from RNAcentral.